UACGGAGGGUGCGAGCGUUAAUCGGAAUCACUGGGCGUAAAGGGCGCGUAGGCGGUUAGUUACGUCUGCCGUGAAAUCCCCGGGCUCAACCUGGGAAUGGCGGUGGAAACGGGCGGACUAGAGUAUGGGAGAGGGUGAUGGAAUUCCAGGUGUAGCGGUGAAAUGCGUAGAGAUCUGGAGGAACAUCAGUGGCGAAGGCGGCCACCUGGCCCAAUACUGACGCUGAGGCACGAAAGCGUGGGGAGCAAACAGG
RNAcentral lists this ribosomal RNA (253 nucleotides) under uncultured Acidithiobacillus sp. RNAcentral describes it as "partial 16S ribosomal RNA". It matches the Rfam family "Bacterial small subunit ribosomal RNA", at positions 524 to 776 of the family's 1533-position model. The record is from RNAcentral. Lineage: Bacteria; Pseudomonadati; Pseudomonadota; Acidithiobacillia; Acidithiobacillales; Acidithiobacillaceae.